GUCCUAUUGAAGUUUUAAUAGGUCUNNNNNUGCCCACUGAAAACUUAAAGGGCCGCGGUAUCUUGACCGUGCGAAGGUAGCAUAAUCACUAGUUUUUUAAUUGAAGGCUUGUAUGAAUGGUCGGACAAGAAAUAAGCUGUCUUUAUAAGAUUUGUUGAAUUUAACAUUUGAGUAAAAAGGCUUAGAUAAAUUAAAGGGACGAUAAGACCCUAUAAAGCUUUAUAAUUUCUUUAAUUUCUUAAAGAUAGGUUGUAAAAAUUAAUUUAUUCGAGAGAUUAUUAUGUUGGGGCGACAAGAGUAAAAUUUAUUAUCUGCUUUAUUUUUAUAACAAUGAUUUUUGUAUAUUUAAAUGAUCCUAAUUAUAGAUUAUAAGUUUAAGUUACUUUAGGGAUAACAGCGUAAUUCUUUUUGAGAGUUCUUAUCGAGAAAAGAGUUUGCGACCUCGAUGUUGAAUUAAGUUGUCUUCUUAUGUGCAGCAGCUAAGAUAGAUGGUCUGUUCGACCUUUAAAAAUUUACAUGAUUUGAGUUCAAACCGGCGUGAG
Molecule: ribosomal RNA, 542 nt
Filed under: Upogebia annae
Lineage: Eukaryota; Metazoa; Arthropoda; Malacostraca; Decapoda; Upogebiidae
Description: partial 16S ribosomal RNA
Rfam family: Archaeal large subunit ribosomal RNA
Source: RNAcentral